This 1460-nucleotide ribosomal RNA is filed under the name Salmonella enterica subsp. enterica serovar Infantis. Its description in RNAcentral is "bacterial SSU rRNA". Lineage: Bacteria; Pseudomonadati; Pseudomonadota; Gammaproteobacteria; Enterobacterales; Enterobacteriaceae. The record is from RNAcentral.
UGAUGACGAGUGGCGGACGGGUGAGUAAUGUCUGGGAAACUGCCUGAUGGAGGGGGAUAACUACUGGAAACGGUGGCUAAUACCGCAUAACGUCGCAAGACCAAAGAGGGGGACCUUCGGGCCUCUUGCCAUCAGAUGUGCCCAGAUGGGAUUAGCUWGUUGGUGAGGUAACGGCUCACCAAGGCGACGAUCCCUAGCUGGUCUGAGAGGAUGACCAGCCACACUGGAACUGAGACACGGUCCAGACUCCUACGGGAGGCAGCAGUGGGGAAUAUUGCACAAUGGGCGCAAGCCUGAUGCAGCCAUGCCGCGUGUAUGAAGAAGGCCUUCGGGUUGUAAAGUACUUUCAGCGGGGAGGAAGGUGUUGYGGUUAAUAACCGCAGCAAUUGACGUUACCCGCAGAAGAAGCACCGGCUAACUCCGUGCCAGCAGCCGCGGUAAUACGGAGGGUGCAAGCGUUAAUCGGAAUUACUGGGCGUAAAGCGCACGCAGGCGGUCUGUCAAGUCGGAUGUGAAAUCCCCGGGCUCAACCUGGGAACUGCAUUCGAAACUGGCAGGCUUGAGUCUUGUAGAGGGGGGUAGAAUUCCAGGUGUAGCGGUGAAAUGCGUAGAGAUCUGGAGGAAUACCGGUGGCGAAGGCGGCCCCCUGGACAAAGACUGACGCUCAGGUGCGAAAGCGUGGGGAGCAAACAGGAUUAGAUACCCUGGUAGUCCACGCCGUAAACGAUGUCUACUUGGAGGUUGUGCCCUUGAGGCGUGGCUUCCGGAGCUAACGCGUUAAGUAGACCGCCUGGGGAGUACGGCCGCAAGGUUAAAACUCAAAUGAAUUGACGGGGGCCCGCACAAGCGGUGGAGCAUGUGGUUUAAUUCGAUGCAACGCGAAGAACCUUACCUGGUCUUGACAUCCACAGAAGAAUCCAGAGAUGGAUUUGUGCCUUCGGGAACUGUGAGACAGGUGCUGCAUGGCUGUCGUCAGCUCGUGUUGUGAAAUGUUGGGUUAAGUCCCGCAACGAGCGCAACCCUUAUCCUUUGUUGCCAGCGGUCCGGCCGGGAACUCAAAGGAGACUGCCAGUGAUAAACUGGAGGAAGGUGGGGAUGACGUCAAGUCAUCAUGGCCCUUACGACCAGGGCUACACACGUGCUACAAUGGCGCAUACAAAGAGAAGCGACCUCGCGAGAGCAAGCGGACCUCAUAAAGUGCGUCGUAGUCCGGAUUGGAGUCUGCAACUCGACUCCAUGAAGUCGGAAUCGCUAGUAAUCGUGGAUCAGAAUGCCACGGUGAAUACGUUCCCGGGCCUUGUACACACCGCCCGUCACACCAUGGGAGUGGGUUGCAAAAGAAGUAGGUAGCUUAACCUUCGGGAGGGCGCUUACCACUUUGUGAUUCAUGACUGGGGUGAAGUCGUAACAAGGUAACCGUAGGGGAACCUGCGGUUGGAUCACCUCCUUACCUUAAAGAA